GCAAAGUCAACUCAUUGCCAGUCGACGAGUUUGGUGAUUGAGAUCAAACAUAUAACCGAAAUAUCAAAAAAUCCUACGACAAAUAUAUUAACAAGCUUUAGAACUGCACUGUUAAAAAAAGCCACAAUGAUAAAAUCUACAAUUUUAACGGUAUAUACCGAUAAUUCACAUACAUUAUAUGAAGAUAUAGACGAAGUACUAGUUCAUGGCAUAAUCACAUUGGACUCUAUUGAUUAUGUCAAAUUUGUACUAAAACAGAUAAGUAAUAAACCCGAAAUUGAAAUUAUAAAACAUGAUGUGCAUGCUAUAAUGGAAAAAAUAUGUUCUUUGUGCGAUGAGAAUGAUGUUAAUUUUAAGUUAAUUUUUAUUAUUGGUCACAAUUUACCUUACUUGUCUUGUAAAUCUUUUGAGAAUAAUAUUGCUAAAAUGAUUGACAAAAUUGUUGAUACACAAAAUGUUACAAAAUAUGCGCCAAUUAUAAAAAAAUUAAAGCGCAACUAGAGAAUAAACAUCGUCGAGUUAUAUGUGGAAUACGAAAGAAUACGCUAAUCGUUAAUUUAUUUGACUUACGCGAAGAAAGUUUAACAUGCCACAAUAUAAUUGUAAAAACAUUACAACAGCAAAUAAAUUUAAAGAUAGAAUUGAAGAAUAGAUGUGAAACAAAGCUUAAAAGGCAACAAAAUGUUGCAAAAUUAACCAACACAUUAAUUUCAAAAAUUAUUCCUAC
Nylanderia fulva is the source of this 727-nucleotide non-coding RNA. The record is from RefSeq and is a predicted model, not a curated record. Lineage: Eukaryota; Metazoa; Arthropoda; Insecta; Hymenoptera; Formicidae.